UGGGGAAUAUUGGACAAUGGGCGAAAGCCUGAUCCAGCCAUGCCGCGUGUGUGAAGAAGGCCUUCGGGUUGUAAAGUACUUUCAGCGGGGAGGAAGGCGAUAAGGUUAAUAACCUUGUCGAUUGACGUUACCCGCAGAAGAAGCACCGGCUAACUCCGUGCCAGCAGCCGCGGUAAUACGGAGGGUGCAAGCGUUAAUCGGAAUUACUGGGCGUAAAGCGCACGCAGGCGGUCUGUCAAGUCGGAUGUGAAAUCCCCGGGCUCAACCUGGGAACUGCAUUCGAAACUGGCAGGCUAGAGUCUUGUAGAGGGGGGUAGAAUUCCAGGUGUAGCGGUGAAAUGCGUAGAGAUCUGGAGGAAUACCGGUGGCGAAGGCGGCCCCCUGGACAAAGACUGACGCUCAGGUGCGAAAGCGUGGGGAGCAAACA
RNAcentral lists this ribosomal RNA (427 nucleotides) under uncultured bacterium. RNAcentral's name for it is "partial 16S ribosomal RNA". It matches the Rfam family "Bacterial small subunit ribosomal RNA", at positions 355 to 774 of the family's 1533-position model. The record is from RNAcentral.